Quercus robur (English oak) is the source of this 215-nucleotide long non-coding RNA. RefSeq lists it as uncharacterized. The record is from RefSeq and is a predicted model, not a curated record. NCBI's taxonomy places the organism in Eukaryota, Viridiplantae, Streptophyta, Magnoliopsida, Fagales, Fagaceae. The transcript has 3 exons.
AUAAAUUUCAGGCUGCUCUGGAGGCACCAAGGGUUCUGAACUUAAAAAGCAGUGAACAUUUCUCUGGACCAUAUGGGGAGGAUGUUGUCUUCAUUGCCAAUGAUUGGCACACUGCUCUUCUUCCAUGCUACCUAAAAACAAAGUACAAAUCAAGGGUACUCUAUAAAAAUGCCAAGGUUGCUUUUUGCAUUCAUAACAUAGCUUAACAGGGACCG